Molecule: long non-coding RNA, 816 nt
Filed under: Mustela putorius furo (domestic ferret)
Lineage: Eukaryota; Metazoa; Chordata; Mammalia; Carnivora; Mustelidae
Description: lncRNA (ENSMPUG00000030888.1)
Source: RNAcentral
CUUCAAGACAGACAGGGAGCAGCUGAGCACGCCAGCUCACAGACAGCCACCCUGCUCACACUCAUCUGAGCCCAAAUCCCAGCACCUGGCAAGCACAGUCAGCUGAAGUCUCUGAUGGGUAAUUCUGCAAAACACCCGAAGCCUUAAAAACACAGGCAGUUCUAUUAUUUGCCCCUAAGAACUAGUGCCAAGCCACAGAGAGCCACGUUUGCAGAACAUGUUGCCAUCGGAGAGCUCCAAACCAGUGCUGGGCCUGGGACCUGCUUCCAGGAAGGAGCAAGGCCCUCACCCAAGGACCUGGAGAACGUACUCUGCUCUCCGGGCAACCGCCCGGCUUCACCCACAGGCCCCGCCGGCCGCUCCCUCCUCCUCCAUCUUCUACCUUAAGAGUCAGGUAUUACUCCUCUGUUCAGCCCAGGAGGAAACUGAGACUCUGGGAUUAAGUGCCAAGAUUACCCCAAGGUGCUCUGCAGCUCCAGCUCGUCCCUGUCAAAGAUCAGAAGCAGAAACCACAAGGAAGGCUCUUGCCCCCAUCUGGAUCCUUUGCUCCUGCCCCCUCACUGACCUUGAUGCCGCCUCAUGGGCUCCCCUGCCCGCGCACAGCCUGGUGAGUCCCCUCCAUUUGGGAUCUGUGAGUGUAACAAGCUUUCAAAGGCCGUUGUCUCCUGAUCUGAUCUCACCAUACCUGAACAGUAAUAAGACCUGAUGAAGUUCUAGAACCUAGGUGAGGUUUGGUGGGCUGAGGUCCGGAGCCGAUGACCAAGAAAGAAUUCUUGAGACAUCUUUGGUGCAAAAUGGUGGUUUAUUAAAGCACGG